RNAcentral lists this ribosomal RNA (496 nucleotides) under uncultured bacterium. RNAcentral's name for it is "partial 16S ribosomal RNA". It matches the Rfam family "Bacterial small subunit ribosomal RNA", at positions 28 to 507 of the family's 1533-position model. The record is from RNAcentral.
GAUGAACGCUGGCGGCGUGCCUAAUACAUGCAAGUCGAGCGAACGGACGAGAAGCUUGCUUCUCUGAUGUUAGCGGCGGACGGGUGAGUACACGUGGAUAACCUACCUAUAAGACUGGGAUAACUUCGGGAAACCGGAGCUAAUACCGGAUAAUAUUUUGAACCGCAUGGUUCAAAAGUGAAAGACGGUCUUGCUGUCACUUAUAGAUGGAUCCGCGCUGCAUUAGCUAGUUGGUAAGGUAACGGCUUACCAAGGCAACGAUGCAUAGCCGACCUGAGAGGGUGAUCGGCCACACUGGAACUGAGACACGGUCCAGACUCCUACGGGAGGCAGCAGUAGGGAAUCUUCCGCAAUGGGCGAAAGCCUGACGGAGCAACGCCGCGUGAGUGAUGAAGGUCUUCGGAUCGUAAAACUCUGUUAUUAGGGAAGAACAUAUGUGUAAGUAACUGUGCACAUCUUGACGGUACCUAAUCAGAAAGCCACGGCUAACUACGUG